UGUGGGAGCUGGCUUGCCUGCGAUACCGGUGUGCCAGCCAACCAUCUGGCACUGAUACACCGCCAUCGCAGGCAAGCCAGCUCCCACA
Molecule: non-coding RNA, 88 nt
Filed under: Pseudomonas tolaasii NCPPB 2192
Lineage: Bacteria; Pseudomonadati; Pseudomonadota; Gammaproteobacteria; Pseudomonadales; Pseudomonadaceae
Source: RNAcentral